CCUACGGGGGGCAGCAGUGGGGAAUAUUGCACAAUGGGGGAAACCCUGAUGCAGCAACGCCGCGUGAAGGAAGACGGUUUUCGGAGUGUAAACUUCUGUUCUUAGUGAAGAAUAAUGACGGUAGCGAAGGAGCAAGCCACGGCUAACUACGUGCCAGCAGCCGCGGUAAUACGUAGGUGGCAAGCGUUGUCCGGAAUUACUGGGUGUAAAGGGAGCGCAGGCGGGAAGCCAAGUCAGCUGUGAAAACUACGGGCUUAACUUGUAGACUGCAGUUGAAACUGGUUUUCUUGAGUGAAGUAGAGGUUGGCGGAAUUCCGGGUGUAGCGGUGAAAUGCGUAGAUAUUCGGAGGAACACCGGUGGCGAAGGCGGCCAACUGGGCUUUAACUGACGCUGAGGCUCGAAAGUGUGGGGAGCAAACAGGAUUAGAUACCCUUGUAGUC
Molecule: ribosomal RNA, 441 nt
Filed under: uncultured bacterium
Lineage: Bacteria
Description: partial 16S ribosomal RNA
Rfam family: Bacterial small subunit ribosomal RNA
Source: RNAcentral